RNAcentral lists this ribosomal RNA (476 nucleotides) under mastodon intestinal bacterium E6.25.18. RNAcentral's name for it is "bacterial SSU rRNA". It matches the Rfam family "Bacterial small subunit ribosomal RNA", at positions 36 to 501 of the family's 1533-position model. Lineage: Bacteria; Pseudomonadati; Pseudomonadota; Gammaproteobacteria; Enterobacterales; Enterobacteriaceae. The record is from RNAcentral.
CUGGCGGCAGGCCUAACACAUCCAAGUCGAGCGGCAGCGGGAAGUAGCUUGCUACUUUNCCGNCGAGCGGCGGACGGGUGAGUAAUGUCUGGGAAACUGCCUGAUGGAGGGGGAUAACUACUGGAAACGGUAGCUAAUACCGCAUGACCUCGCAAGAGCAAAGUGGGGGACCUUCGGGCCUCACGCCAUCGGAUGUGCCCAGAUGGGAUUAGCUAGUAGGUGAGGUAAUGGCUCACCUAGGCGACGAUCCCUAGCUGGUCUGAGAGGAUGACCAGCCACACUGGAACUGAGACACGGUCCAGACUCCUACGGGAGGCAGCAGUGGGGAAUAUUGCACAAUGGGCGCAAGCCUGAUGCAGCCAUGCCGCGUGUGUGAAGAAGGCCUUCGGGUUGUAAAGCACUUUCAGCGAGGAGGAAGGGUUCAGUGUUAAUAGCACUGUUCAUUGACGUUACUCGCAGAAGAAGCACCGGCUAAC